AACAUGUUUGUGAACAUUAAAUAAACGAAUAUGGAACACAUGUAAUUUUAAAUAAACGAACAUAAAGAGAAAUUUAAAAUUCUUAACAAACAUAGACUAAACACAAACAAACUUAAAAAUAUACAAACGAACAUGAACAAAGAUUUAUUCAUUCAAGUUCAAUUCAUUUACAACUUUAAUCAUCGUCGAUAGAAAAGAUCGCUUGAGAAGGCUUAAAUUCAUCACUAAAUACAAAUACACCUUUCAAUGGCAUGUAAUGCCUCCGAAGGGAUAUCAUGUCACAACAAGCCAUAAAAGAAGCUCUGUAAAUCACACAAGUGCUAUAAGAGCCGACGCCCUAAGAAUGAUUACACUAUCGAUAAACGACUAUAGCCACCAAUCGCAAGAUUUGGUGCGAUGAGAAUCGUGCUCUAGCAAGGUCCAUGGUGAAGGCGGCGCAAGAAGAUAGAGAAUGCGGCAACUAGAGAGGUUGGGGAACACCGGGCUUGGAGGCUCCAAGUUGGAGCCACAUGUUCGAAGGGAAACUCUGCAAGACAAUCGGCAAAAGGCUCCAAGCUUGUAAACCUAUAUUUUAUGAAUGGUUCUUUUAAGUAAUGGGGCCUUAAGAGUAAAGGUAAGUAACGAGCUCUAAUAAUUGAUUGGGUAAAGUGUACAAUUAAUCAUCAAACUUCCAUAACUUUUCGUUUUGGACAUCAAGAGAUAAAAAAUUUCAUUUCAGGCACUAUUAUUAAAAACUAUUUCAUUUUAAGUAUAACCGCUAAAAACUAUUUUCAUUUUCGUCAUCAGUCAUUCAUUCAUUAUCAUUAUACAUUCAUUUUAGUCACCCAAUUUUGAUAAGUUUUCAUGUUUGUCACUCGUUUUCCUUUUUAAGAUUAAUUUUAUUUUUUUAAAGAAAAAAUUGAGUUUUUAUACAAAAUUGAGUUAUUAAUGAAACCCAAAUAAAAAUAGUUUUUAACGCCGAUUCUUAAAAUUAAAUUUUUAUUUUUUCUAUGUCUCAAAUGAAAUUUUAUGAAAGUUGGUCACCAAAUAUGUAUUUUACCCUAAUUAAUUUAAUUAAAAUCAUAUUUUUAAGUAAUCAAAAUAUCAUUGUCUCAAUAAACAUAAAAAAAUAUAUAAAAUACUAAUAUAAAAAUUUAUAUUAAUACUGUAAAUUUUCAGUAUUAGUUAAAAAAUUAGAUUUGUUGUAUAGUUUAAAAUAUUUCAGUAUUAUUAUUUUAUUAAUAUAAGCUAGAUUAUACGAUUUGUCAUUCGGCUAUUAGUGUGUUUUUUAUUUGGUCAUAGAACUAAAAAAAUUAUCAUCUUUGUCACCAAUGUUAUCAUUUAUUUUUGUUUUGGUCAUUCUUCGUUAAAUCAUUAAUAAAAAAUAUGACAUGACUUUUUUUUAAUUAAUAUAACACAUUUAGUCCUCUUCACCUGCACAUUUUAUCAAUUUAAUGCUAAUUCUAAAUAACUGAAAAAAUUUAGCUAUCUACAUUUACUGUUUCUAUCAAAUUGGUCCUAUUCUCUAUCUCCAAACCAAUUACUAUUAGUUAAUUUCGUUUAUUCUCUCUAUUUUUGUGGGUUGUGUAAUUAUUGGAAAGAAGAUUGUGCGAAUGAUGAUAAAUCCAAAGGCUUGUUCACCUAACCUGUCAAAAGGGUGGAGA
Molecule: long non-coding RNA, 1643 nt
Filed under: Gossypium barbadense (sea-island cotton)
Lineage: Eukaryota; Viridiplantae; Streptophyta; Magnoliopsida; Malvales; Malvaceae
Description: long non-coding RNA (GBAR_LNC003546)
Source: RNAcentral